This 1276-nucleotide ribosomal RNA is filed under the name metagenome. RNAcentral describes it as "SSU rRNA". It matches the Rfam family "Eukaryotic small subunit ribosomal RNA", at positions 493 to 1759 of the family's 1831-position model. The record is from RNAcentral.
UUUAUGGGUUAUGCAAUUGGAAUGACUACAAUUUAAAGAGUUUAAGAAGGAUCAAUUGGAGGGCAAGUCUGGUGCCAGCAGCCGCGGUAAUUCCAGCUCCAAUAGGAUAUAUCAAAGUUGUUGCAGUUAAAAAGCUCGUAGUUGAAUUUCUGGAAGGUAGAAGUGUUUUUUUAGAGAAGCAAUUUUUUAUGAAAGACGCCGCUUUCCAUUUUGUGGAUUUCUGUUUUGUAUGAGAUAGUUUACUCUAUUUUUAUAUAAAAUACCACUCCGUCACUGAGAGCAAAUUGGAGUGCUCAAAGCAGGCUUUAUUAGCUUUGAACAUUUUAGCUUGGAAUGACAAGAUAUGACUUUUGUUUUAUUUUGUUGGUUAUGAAAUAAAAGUAAUGAUUAACAGGAACAGUUGCGGGGGUACUCGUAUUGAAAGGUCAGAGGUGAAAUUCUUGGAUUCUUUCAAGACGAACGACUGCGAAAGCAUUUACCAAGGAUGUUUUCAUUAAUCAAGAACGAAAGCUCGGGGAUCGAAGAUGAUUAGAUACCAUCGUAGUCCGACGCCAUAAACGAUGCCGACUCGGGAUUAUUUUGUUUGUUUACAUUAAAGAAGAACACAAAGUAGCACCGUAUGAGAAAUCAAAGUCUUUGGGUUCCGGGGGGAGUAUGGUCGCAAGGCUGAAACUUAAAGGAAUUGACGGAAGGGCACACCAGAGGUGGAGCCUGCGGUUUAAUUUGACUCAACACGGGGAAACUUACCAGGUCCAGACAUGAUGAGGAUUGACAGUUUGAAAGCACUUUCUUGAUUUCAUGGGUGGUGGUGCAUGGCCGUUCUUAGUUGGUGGAGUGAUUUGUCUGGUUGAUUCCGAUAACGAACGAGACGGGGUGAAUUUACUAGUUUGUUAUAUAAUUUACGUUAUAUAAGACUUCUUUAUUCGACAACUUGGUUUUACCAAGAGGAAGCGCCCCGCAAUAACAGGUCUGUGAUGCCCUUAGAUGUUCUGGGCUACACGCGCGCUACAAUGACGAAUUCAACGAGUUUAAAAUUUAUUCCUUAUCCGGAAGGAUGUGGGUAAUCUUUUCAAUAUUCGUCGUGAUGGGGCUAGAUUUUUGCAAUUAUUAAUCUUCAACGAGGAAUCUCUAGUAUGUGCAAGUCAUCAGCUUGCGCAGAAUGCGUCCCUGCCCUUUGUACACACCGCCCGUCGCACCUACCGAUUGGACGAUCCGGCAAGAUGUUUGGAGUUGUUUUGAUUGUAGAGUAAUUUAUGAUGAAAAUGACAAAGCUCUU